GGGAAGUAAAAAGUCGUAACAAGGUUUCCGUAGGUGAACCUGCGGAAGGAUCAUUACCGAGUGUAGGGUUCCUAGCGAGCCCAACCUCCCACCCGUGUUUACUGUACCUUAGUUGCUUCGGCGGGCCCGCCAUUCAUGGCCGCCGGGGGCUCUCAGCCCCGGGCCCGCGCCCGCCGGAGACACCACGAACUCUGUCUGAUCUAGUGAAGUCUGAGUUGAUUGUAUCGCAAUCAGUUAAAACUUUCAACAAUGGAUCUCUUGGUUCCGGCAUCGAUGAAGAACGCAGCGAAAUGCGAUAACUAGUGUGAAUUGCAGAAUUCCGUGAAUCAUCGAGUCUUUGAACGCACAUUGCGCCCCCUGGUAUUCCGGGGGGCAUGCCUGUCCGAGCGUCAUUGCUGCCCAUCAAGCACGGCUUGUGUGUUGGGUCGUCGUCCCCUCUCCGGGGGGGACGGGCCCCAAAGGCAGCGGCGGCACCGCGUCCGAUCCUCGAGCGUAUGGGGCUUUGUCACCCGCUCUGUAGGCCCGGCCGGCGCUUGCCGAACGCAAAUCAAUCUUUCCAGGUGACCUCGGAUCAGGUAGGAGCCCA
This 586-nucleotide ribosomal RNA is filed under the name Aspergillus sp. SL2. RNAcentral's name for it is "eukaryotic LSU rRNA". The stretch from base 239 to 392 matches the Rfam family "5.8S ribosomal RNA". Lineage: Eukaryota; Fungi; Ascomycota; Eurotiomycetes; Eurotiales; Aspergillaceae. The record is from RNAcentral.